Molecule: ribosomal RNA, 372 nt
Filed under: uncultured organism
Description: bacterial SSU rRNA
Rfam family: Bacterial small subunit ribosomal RNA
Source: RNAcentral
CGUAGGUGGCAAGCGUUGUCCGGAAUUAUUGGGCGUAAAGCGCGCGCAGGCGGUUCCUUAAGUCUGAUGUGAAAGCCCCCGGCUCAACCGGGGAAGGUCAUUGGAAACUGGGGAACUUGAGUGCAGAAGAGAAGAGCGGAAUUCCAUGUGUAGCGGUGAAAUGCGUAGAGAUGUGGAGGAACACCAGUGGCGAAGGCGGCUCUUUGGUCUGUAACUGACGCUGAGGCGCGAAAGCGUGGGGAGCAAACAGGAUUAGAUACCCUGGUAGUCCACGCCGUAAACGAUGAGUGCUAAGUGUUAGAGGGUUUCCGCCCUUUAGUGCUGCAGCUAACGCAUUAAGCACUCCGCCUGGGGAGUACGGCCGCAAGGCUG